UCCAUAAUACAUGUGGUGAAUUCGUCCUA
This 29-nucleotide non-coding RNA is filed under the name Bombyx mori (domestic silkworm). The record is from RNAcentral. Lineage: Eukaryota; Metazoa; Arthropoda; Insecta; Lepidoptera; Bombycidae.